Molecule: ribosomal RNA, 252 nt
Filed under: uncultured prokaryote
Description: partial 16S ribosomal RNA
Rfam family: Bacterial small subunit ribosomal RNA
Source: RNAcentral
UACGUAGGGGGCAAGCGUUGUCCGGAUUCAUUGGGCGUAAAGGGCGGGUAGGCGGCCACCGCAAGUCAGUUGUGAAAUCUCUGGGCUUAACCCAGAAAGGUCAACUGAUACUGCGGGGCUAGAGUGCAGAAGGGGCAACUGGAAUUCUCGGUGUAGCGGUGAAAUGCGUAGAUAUCGAGAGGAACACCUGCGGCGAAGGCGGGUUGCUGGGCUGACACUGACGCUGAGGCGCGAAAGCUAGGGGAGCGAACG